UACGGGGGGGGCAAGCGUUGUUCGGAAUUACUGGGCGUAAAGGGCCCGUAGGUGGCCAACUAAGUCAGACGUGAAAUCCCUCGGCUUAACCGGGGAACUGCGUCUGAUACUGGAUGGCUUGAGUUUGGGAGAGGGACGCGGAAUUCCAGGUGUAGCGGUGAAAUGCGUAGAUAUCUGGAGGAAUACCGGUGGCGAAGGCGGCAUCCUGGACCGAGAUGACGCUGAGGAGCGAAAGCUAGGGGAGCAAACGGG
RNAcentral lists this ribosomal RNA (252 nucleotides) under uncultured bacterium. RNAcentral describes it as "partial 16S ribosomal RNA". It matches the Rfam family "Bacterial small subunit ribosomal RNA", at positions 524 to 776 of the family's 1533-position model. The record is from RNAcentral.